UACGUAGGGUGCAAGCGUUGUCCGGAAUUAUUGGGCGUAAAGAGCUCGUAGGCGGUCUGUCGCGUCUGCUGUGAAAACUCGGGGCUUAACCCCGGGCCUGCAGUGGGUACGGGCAGACUGGAGUACUGCAGGGGAGACUGGAAUUCCUGGUGUAGCGGUGGAAUGCGCAGAUAUCAGGAGGAACACCGGUGGCGAAGGCGGGUCUCUGGGCAGUAACUGACGCUGAGGAGCGAAAGCGUGGGGAGCGAACAGG
Molecule: ribosomal RNA, 253 nt
Filed under: uncultured bacterium
Lineage: Bacteria
Description: partial 16S ribosomal RNA
Rfam family: Bacterial small subunit ribosomal RNA
Source: RNAcentral